This 192-nucleotide unclassified non-coding RNA is filed under the name Phomopsis sp. DZF-M1b. RNAcentral describes it as "partial ITS1". The record is from RNAcentral. Lineage: Eukaryota; Fungi; Ascomycota; Sordariomycetes; Diaporthales; Diaporthaceae.
UGCGGAGGGAUCAUUGCUGGAACGCGCCCCAGGCGCACCCAGAAACCCUUUGUGAACUUAUACCUUACUGUUGCCUCGGCGCAUGCCGGCCCCCUCGGGGGCCCCCUGGAGACAGGGAGCGGGCACGCCGGCGGCCAAGUUAACUCUUGUUUUUACAAUGAAACUCUGAGAAAAAAACACAAAUGAAUCAAA